UUAGAUACCCUAUUAUUAAAAAUGCGAAUAGUUAUGCUUGAGUAGUAGUAGUUAUGUUCUUGAAAUUCAAAAAAUCUGGCGGUAUUUUAGUCUAUUCAGAGGAACCUGUCCUAUAAUUGAUAAUCCACGAUUAAUUAUACUUAUUUUUAGUUUGUAUAUCGUCGUAGUUUGAAUGUUUUUAAAGAAAUUGUAAUAUUCAAGAUUUAUAUUAAAUUAAAGGAAAUCAGAUCAAGAUACAGCGUAUAGAUGAGAAGUGAUGGGUUACAAUAAAUUUAUUUAAAUGGUUAAAAUAAUUAAAAUUAUUUUAUAAAGUGGAUUUGAUAGUAAUAUAAUUUAUUUAAAUUAUAUGAUUUUAGCUCUAAAAUAUGUACAUAUCGCCCGUCGCUCCUUCUCUAAAGAUGGAUAAGUC
This 409-nucleotide ribosomal RNA is filed under the name Mimeoma acuta. RNAcentral's name for it is "partial 12S ribosomal RNA". The record is from RNAcentral. Lineage: Eukaryota; Metazoa; Arthropoda; Insecta; Coleoptera; Scarabaeidae.